Cavia porcellus (domestic guinea pig) is the source of this 315-nucleotide non-coding RNA. It matches the Rfam family "Metazoan signal recognition particle RNA". From Rfam's summary of the family: The signal recognition particle (SRP) is a universally conserved ribonucleoprotein. It is involved in the co-translational targeting of proteins to membranes. Lineage: Eukaryota; Metazoa; Chordata; Mammalia; Rodentia; Caviidae. The record is from Rfam.
GCCGGGCGUGGUGGCCCGCGCCUGCAGUCCCAGCUACUCAGGAGGCUGAGGUGGGAGGAUCGCUUGAGUCCAGGAGUUCUGGGCUGCAGUGCGCUAUGCUGAUCAAGUGUCCGCACUAAGUUCGGCAUCAAUAUGGUGACCGUUCAGGAGCGGGGGACCACCAGGUUGCCUAAGGAGGGGUGAACCGGCCUAGGUCGGAAAAUACUUAACACAGUAAGGCUCAAAGAGGGGCUACAGUGCAGGAGAAAUUUUUUUUUUACACUUUCAUGGAAAUUACAAUGAAUUCAAUGUGUUAGAACAAUGAGAAAUCCAUUU